GAUGAACGCUGGCGGCGUGCCUAAUACAUGCGAGUCGAGCGAACAGACGAGGAGCUUGCUCCUCUGACGUUAGCGGCGGACGGGUGAGUAACACGUGGAUAACCUACCUAUAAGACUGGGAUAACUUCGGGAAACCGGAGCUAAUACCGGAUAAUAUAUUGAACCGCAUGGUUCAAUAGUGAAAGACGGUUUUGCUGUCACUUAUAGAUGGAUCCGCGCCGCAUUAGCUAGUUGGUAAGGUAACGGCUUACCAAGGCAACGAUGCGUAGCCGACCUGAGAGGGUGAUCGGCCACACUGGAACUGAGACACGGUCCAGACUCCUACGGGAGGCAGCAGUAGGGAAUCUACCGCAAUGGGCGAAGGCCUGACGGAGCAACGCCGCGUGAGUGAUGAAGGUCUUCGGAUCGUAAAACUCUGUUAUUAGGGAAGAACAAAUGUGUAAGUAACUAUGCACGUCUUGACGGUACCUAAUCAGAAAGCCACGGCUAACUACGUG
This 497-nucleotide ribosomal RNA is filed under the name uncultured bacterium. RNAcentral describes it as "partial 16S ribosomal RNA". It matches the Rfam family "Bacterial small subunit ribosomal RNA", at positions 28 to 507 of the family's 1533-position model. The record is from RNAcentral.